AAUCAGGUAUAGUAAAGCGCGUAGGUUUUAGGAAAUUCAUUUUUAUUCAAGUUUUAUAAAUAUUUCCAUGAAUUGGGUAAAACCAUAAUUACUAACAUUAUCUGAUAUUUUUUAAGCCCGUGCGACUACCGUUAUACCUAGAUAUUUAUAAUUCAUAACAGGGUACAACUAGGAUGUAAUUAGAUAUAACGUGACACAGAGUACGUUGGUAUAGGUUUUUAUUUCUUUAUAAUACACGAAGAAGACAAAAGCGUGACGAUAUUGGCAAGCGAUCGUCGUUUCCAAUUCCUACAGACGCAAACGUAAAGAUUCGCUGACGUUUCUUGCAGCGAUCACGAUAAAGGCGGUCGGAUGUAGAAUCCCCGUUUCAUUUAAUAAUCACGCUCGAUUAAUAUAAAUUGCCUGGCGAUGGCGGAGCGUCGGUUACACCAUAUUUUUUGCGCAACCGGCAAAGAAUCAUCGCUAGCCAUAGUCCCGCUAAAUUAGGAUUAAGAACUUUAGCGGCUGCAUGGGUGAGCACGACUAACAUCGCUACUUAGGCAAGCAUUUGCCCGGAACACGUUUCGCUCUGACCCAUUGCGAUAUACGGAGCACGGAUGACGAUGGGCAUGAUUUCUAGGCCGAGGACACGAUCUGCCUACGUGUACGAAGUUGUUCGUGAAAAUGACGAUAUCGUCGAUGGAAUACAGAUACAGUUGGAUGCUCUCGCGAGGCGAACGACUAGCGCGCAAUCUAGCAAAUCGACGUAUUACCGCCGCGUCGCUCGUACGUUUCGUACCCUCUUACUCGAUCUUCGUUGUCUCGAUGAUGUACAGCGGCAGAUCGCAUCUGAGCCUGUGCCGUGCAAAUUUAUUCGCCUAGUUGGAUGCUGCAAAUUGGAAGAACGAUAUGAUGCAUCGAUUUCUGUCACGGUUCUACGUUUUACUCGCAACCACGUGCCAACCAUCGUGAAUUUUGCUUCGCGUUCAGCGGAGCACGAAUUUUUCGUUGCACCUACCUUUUUCAAGUUUUCCUUGCCGGGCUGGAAAUAAACGAACGUGGGAAUCGCGGUCGUGUACACGGGUCUGUCUAACUGUUCGAUUAUAGAUAAACGUUUGGCUUCUCGAUCUUCGGCCACGUAAGUACGUUCGACGGAUCUAUAUCGUUCCGCCUUCCGUUUUUUUCUAAUUCCCUUUUACGCCGACGUACACGGCGAUGUUCGCGAAACACUCGCGGCAGUUAGUGCGCUCUCACUGAUUGCUGAAAGAACGUUGCUAAAUCGACGAUUUAUUAUUGCUCGUGUAGUAAUAACGUAGCCGAUGCUAGCGUACCACAGUUGCUGAGAUGCACCCGCUAUGACAACGUUGCGGUAAUAUGAAUUGUUGGCCCAGAUUCGAAUGUGUUUAUCAUCGGGGCACGUCAUUGAUUGGACCGUUGCAACACCGGCCGCCGCGUAACCAAAAAGAAAAAAGAAGAAAAAAAAUUGAACUUCCAAGUAGUCGAUGUUGUAGCGUGCGUUGAUCGAUAAGAUCUCUCACGUGAUGAAGAACGAAAGCUUGCGCUUUUUCUUCGGCUAAUUUACCAACGUUCCGUUUCUUGAACUCAGACAUAGGUAUCUGUUAACGAUCUUAAAGCGUUACCGAUACAGCGCUAUGCAAAAGUUCCGCGUUAACUGCUUAAACGUUAGUCUCACGUGAACUGAUAUUUUAGUUUUUUCUCGUAAAGAGAACUUUCAAAAACUACCGUUAUAGAUAGAACUGCGAUCCUUUGGAGAGUAACCGAACUUCCUGAAAUACUGGAACGAGGCUGACAGAAAAUAUAAAAUUAGAUUAAAUUAUUCCGAAUUGUUAUUAAUACACGAUUCUAAAACUUUAUCUCCGAGAAAAUGAUUGUCGCUAAGAGAGCAAAAAAAGAGUAUAUAAAAUAUCGUUUACUUUAAAUUAUUCAAUAUCUUUUUAAGCAAUUACGAGAAAUAAAAUGAAGACAAUAGCGAGGAUCCUUAUAUUUAUUCCAAAAACAUUUUUUUAUAAUUCUGUAUUUGCUAACUAUCUGAUCGUGCAUUAUGGCAGCAAAACUUACGCAACUGUUACGAACGUGUACCUUCCUGAUAAAUGUAACGAAAAAUUUGUAUGUGUAUUGAGAAAGUCUAGUUCCAUUAGAAUUCGGUACAGAGAAGUUACGUUGAUCGACGUUAAAUUAUCGAGUCGUACGGACUCGAGCACAAUAGAGGAAUCAAUUAAGAAACAAUCAUCGAGUCGAUCGAUAUGCUUACUUUACAUCAACCAGACUAUACGCUUCAUUCAUCAUGCUCGUAUCCGAGCGACGCUAAUUUUACGGAUUUCGAAGCAGUUUCUCCGAACAGCCUCUAGAAACCUAUCGAUAAAUCCUAAUUUAUACUCUGAUGCGAAUGCGACGGUUCAUAAAUUCGCCCGAAGGAUUCAACGUUUAAUUCCCAAGUUAACGAUAGCGAUAAAACUUUCCAGUCAAUUAUCGAUCAUCCUCGCCUCCGUCAUCCAAACGAACUGAAAGAUUUUACAGCGAAGGAUCGCGUUUACCGAAUCGCGGUUGAUCGCCAGCGAGUUGAGCUCCUUUCGAUCCAGUUGAGCGAUUUGCAUCGUUGAAACAAUGGUAACCGCGGCGCGGCGCCAGGGGAAUUCUGUCGAGAGACGAGCAGGACGACGUCUCCGUUCCAGGAAAAAGCGAACAGCGCUCGCUGUGUUCUCGUUUUCGGCGCGUUGUGAUUUCCAUAGCACGCAGCAGAUGAACGGCCCAGGGACUAGCUAGGAAGAAGUGGAGAUGGAAAGGAGGCUAGAUUAGCGUGGGGUAGGAAAAAGCGAAAGUCAUGUCAGACCAAUCGCAGCUGAGACAGACGGAGCAUUGUGCGCAUCUCUGCCCUAGAUAAUUAAUAUCCGUGGUCGGUAGUUUUCUGCGGGCGAGCGCGGUGCAUCGCGCCGACAUAGUCUCCGCGCCACGUCGAUUGCUUCAUUUUCCCGUCGAGCUAAUUGAUUAAAGGGAUUAUUAUUACGACGCCGUGAGCAGGAUGCUCCGUCGACCGGCACACAGCCGAUUUCCUCGCCUCGUCGCCACUCUCGUUUAUGACAGCCGGUGUGUUGCAAUGCCUGAUUUUUCCACCCUUUUUGUCUCGAUUGUUCCGAUCAUCUCGCUACGCACAUGAAUCUCCUUUUCGACGAGCGUUCACGACGCCUUUCGAACGCGUGAGAAUUAUGGUGUUCGGUGAAUGGUUGAUACAGUUGAACGCACCAACUUGCGAACAAAAUCUUUUGUAUGAUCUUCAGCGACUCACAACCGUGGCACUAAUUAUCUGAUCGCAAUUCUUGUUAUUUUCACCACAGAAUUUUAUCAUUUGACAGGCGUUGUAUAAUUUGUAGCAAGUAAUAAUAAAUAGACUAGAAUAAUGGACUAAAUAAAAAUAGAUGAAACAGCAAAUAGAAUAAAUUUGUAAUAAAUUUCUUCGAUCUCGCGAGUCACAAGUAAGAAUAUAUCGACUGUCAAGAACGCCGUUGAUCUACCCAACAACUUGAUACGUUUUAAAACCGGAUAUCUCAAUAAUCGGACAGAAAGCAAGCUGCGAUACAAAUUGCAUUUGCUGCUGACCGGAUCUUCGUUAUCCGUGUUAUAAGCUAUGCCUGGAAAGAUCUUCGUACGGAAAAUAUUGAAAGAUACGUGCACUGUAUUUUUAACUCGCAUUAGGAUUCGUAAUUGUGAAGAUGAUCGGAUGUUCGAUAUCAGUAUUAGAUAUCAAAUUAACGAAGUAAUUAGUGUGAUGCCAUAUUCUAAAGAUAAUGAGAUCAAAGGAGAAAGGAAAUUUCCCUGAUGUGGAUGACGUUGCAUCCUCGUGGAUUGAUGCAUUUCGCUUUUCGCAACCUGCACCAUUCUUGCCACAUACGUAUACAUAUGUAAUCUAAUAAUAAAACUAUACUGUGUCUGACCGUAAACCAUACAGGCUUUUGUAUGAUACUAUUAUUAAAUUUAAUAGCAAAUGAGUCAACCAGCAUGAAAUUCGCUAUAAAAUCGACUAAAAGUAAUUUGGUGAACGACGAAGAGCUUGAAAGUUUCUUAUGUUUCUUCGUAGCAAAUACAGUAAGUUUCGCAAUUACUUUACUUUAUCAAUAAUUUGUAUACGUCUCUAUAUACUGUUAAAGUAAUAACAUAAUGUUUUAUUAAAUACAAAAUUUAUAUAUAACAGAAUAACUAUUUUAUAUGUAACAGAAUAAUUUAAAGUAUUAACGUACACCGCUUUAUUCUCUUAUACAUUUCAAACAGGAAUGAAUUUGUUUUAUUGCACAUUCAUUCAUUCGAUACAUACGUAAUACGCUCGCUCAUGGCGUUUUUCUUUUGUCUUCCUCUAUUUCAUUCCUCGCUCGUACAAUACAGAUAUGCACACAUUUAUUUUAUAACAUAUACAUACAUCAUAAAUAUAUAGCGCCGAUAAAUUAUAUCGAAAGUGAAGGACGCAGUUUAUUGAAAUAAAACUCGGUUUUUGUGUAAGGUAUAGUAACCAGGCAUCCGAACAACUCUGAAAUUUUAGGAUAGUAAUCUUCUACCAGAAAAUAUUAAAUUUUAAGCCGUUAAUAGACCGCAGCUGCAACGAAUUGCCACGUUUAAACUAAUAUGUACUUCACGAUUUUAUCAUUAAAAGAGGAUUUGAAGCAUCGAGCCAAUAGAAUGUCAGUUUAUAUCUUAAAACAAGUAUAAAAUACGGUAAAAAGUUUCAAGCUUUCACCGAAGCGUUAGUCAGGCAAAUGUUAGUUGGAUGUUACUUUCUUUUGCACUUGUAAAUAUCGCCGAGCAUCAACGCCGAGUGUUGUAAAAGCAUCGAUCACGGAGGAAGUAAAUAGAAUUCGGUGAACGCGAAAGGAUUCCAGCUGGAUGUAUUUAAUAAGAGCGUGUACAGUAAUAAGAGCCAUUUGGAGCGGAUGGAAUGUCGUGGAAUUGAUAUUCUGGCGUAUCGAUAUCGCAUUAGCGGCAUCUAAAUGAAAGGAGACAUCUUCUCUAUAGCGCUCGUGUUAUUAAAUUGAAGAUUUAUAAUUGAAGAUUGCGAUCGUUUACGCAUUUGUAGAGAAUCUCUGAUAGAAAUCGCAAUAAUUAUGUACUUUUUAAAAAUAUUUUUAUAUUAAUAUUAAUGAUACCACAUGAUACUGUAAUGGACGUUUGAUUGUAUAAUUACUACAAUAUUAACUGCAUAAAAUAAUAAUAAAAUACUAUGAACAACAAUGAUAAUAAAAAACCAUUUUUAUAUUGAUACAAAUCGUAAAUAAAAUAUAAGAAUAGUUAGACGUAGGAAAAUGUAUUUCCUGAAACAACAGCAUAAUUUUUAUCGAGUAUUAAAAUUUGAACGAAACAGUUUCUUAACGAAAUUGUUUCAGAAUCGACGCUAAAAAUAUCAGCAAUAAUUUCAUGAAAAAUAGUGAGAUUCAUUUUUCAUUCAUUGAGCGGGAGAUUACGUUUCGUUAAAUAUGCCAAAUUACACGAAACAACUAAUUUGAUACAGAACCGUACUCAUUACCAAAAUCAAUUAUUAUAUUCUCAUCGUAUUCUACGCUAUUGUUUUAAAGUGCAAAAACUUCUAAGAUACGCAUUAUUAUGUGUAAUUUGUUCGUGUGUGCCUUAUUUGGAAAAAGUGUCACAAAAGAGCUGCUGAAGAUGUGUAAAUUAGCAUCUGUAGGAAAUAUUACGUAAGUAUUAGGACGGUACGUUGCUUUGUGGAAAUUUAAGGCUGGUCAUUUUUCAUUUGAAAGGAGCCGAGAGAAAAAGCCGGGAAACGCAAUCGAACGUAAUGUUUGUAAAAAUAUUACCAGAAAUAAUGACGGACAAAGUGUGUCACACGGUUCGAGUGAGAAAAGCAAGGAAGGUGAACGAAUAAAUUCGGCAUGAGUUAAACGAUAUGCAAAAGCUUGGACGAAUAGAUAAAACUAUCAAAAUGAUAAAGAAAUAAACAGCAAUAUAUAGAUUUUUAAAUCUUGUGGCAACGAGCUGAUCAUAUAAUAACAUAAUCGAAAAUAUCAACAAAGGAGAGUAUAAUAUGAACAAUAGAGAAGAACCUUACGAUGACUCUAUUUUGAUGGAGAUUCGCGGAAUUUCUUUAGUUCUAUUUCUCACAAUUUCAGGUUACUCGAAGCAGAAACGAGCAAACAGCUAAACGAAGAUGAAAAUGUAAACAAGUAAAACGAAAUGAAGAUAUAAACAACUAAAUGGAACGCGUGCAGAAUUAGUAGAGAAGCAGAAGUAGAAAAUGGAAGACAAUCCUGCUGCACUACAACGCAAUAGCAUAUACGCGAGCAAUUUUUCAAUGGAUACAUCGACUCGAAAUAAAAUUAAAAGUAAUUGCAAAAGGAGCGUUAGAGAAGUCGUUAAACCAUGGAACUGUUAAAAUCUCGUCUGUAUCGAAGGCGACUUUAUCCCUUCAUCUUAACGUAGCCCGAUAAGAUACUGACUUGAUAUGAUAAAAAUUAUAAUAGCAAUAAUAGCCAAUGAUGUGUUGCAACUUCGUCAUGUUUGACGUGCCAAUUUACCGCGUGUACACGCUCGUGGUAAAUUGUUUCGCCAGUAAAAAGAGCGACGAUGUACAUAAUUGCACGCGAAGCACGUAUGAUUUUUCACGAUCGUGCACCGUACAACGAACAGUGACGUGACAAUGAGCGUGACGUGCAUUGCUGAUCUUUAUUAAAAAAGCUAAUCCCGUAAUGCAAGUCGUUGGCCUGUAUCGCGUAAUUAAGAAACACGCGUGUUGAAAUCGGAGGAUUUGCAAGUGGGUAAGCUUAAGAACGGUAGAGGCAAUUCCUUUCUAUAGAAAGAGGCAACAUUUCUUUUCGCUCAAUUUCUUGCACAACAUACAUAUAUCGAUAUAUGUGAUAAUUUAUUAACGGAAUUAUUGACUGUGAAUUUUGAUACUUUUUAUUACAACAGGUUUUCACAUUCUAUACAUUAUACAUUAUAAACUAUUAGAGAAUGUCUUAAUAAAUGCAGAAAGUAAUUUAGAUUUUCAUUAACUGUACCUUACACAAUAUGUAGUUGAUAGAAGUAUUUGAAUACUUAUAGAAAUCUUUAAAAAUUAUAUUUAAAAAAUUGUAUGAAUAUAUUCUAUGCAUUUCACAACUUGCAAUUUCAUUAGCAGCGAAAUGGAUUCUAGUCACUCAGCUAUCAUCAUAAUAUUAAUACGGUUUGAAGCAAUUUCUGGGAAUAUCUAUACAUAGAAGAUAUUUAUUGCAAGUAUACCUAUAUAUCGCAGAGACUACUUAACCGUCUUACUUAACCGUCAUUUUCGCAAGAUGAUAUGUCCCUCGGCUGUCAAAUUGGCACAGUGGUAAUGCAUCGAUGAAACGAAAAGACAAAUAAUUCAUUUUUCUCUUUGUCGUUCACACGCAUUCGCACUAAUCCUAACGUUCCUUCACAGCUGUCGUAUUUCAAAGGCAAAAUGCUUUAGAAACAUCGUUUCAUAAGUGACCGAACAAAAGAAUCUUUUACUGAAAAAGUAUAUGAAAUUGACACGAAUGACUAAACGCAAGGGUUAAACAUCAGUGAAUUAUCCAUUGUAUUAACAAGCCUAAAUAUUCAGUGGGAUCAUUUUAACACUUAUUAGGUCAUCCCAUAAGUUCGUUCCGUUUUUCGAGCGGUUAUAUAUGUUAAGAUUGUUUACAUACCUUUCAGU
Bombus terrestris (buff-tailed bumblebee) is the source of this 7648-nucleotide long non-coding RNA. RefSeq lists it as uncharacterized. The record is from RefSeq and is a predicted model, not a curated record. The transcript has 4 exons. NCBI's taxonomy places the organism in Eukaryota, Metazoa, Arthropoda, Insecta, Hymenoptera, Apidae.